CAGCGGUGGAAAAGAAACCAAAAGGGAUUCCCCCAGUAACGGCGAGUGAAAAGGGACCAGCCCAGCGCAAAGGCCGCUCGUUCUUCGGGACGCUGCGUGCGAUGCUGCGUUAAUGCCGGGGCGACAGCCUCAACGGCGACCAAGCGUGCAAGUUCCUUUGAAUAGGACCGUCAAACCCACAGCGGGUGGAAGGCCCAUAGCGCGUCUUGCGUCGUCAACGAGCUAGCCUCGGCAUGGUAGAGUCACGUUGCUUGAGAGUGCAGCGUAAAGACGCGAGGUAAACUCCUCGUAAGGCUAAAUAAGACUGCGAGACCGAUAGCAAACAAGUACCGUGAGGGAAAGUUGCAAAGAACUUUGAAGAGAGAGUUCAAAAGGACGUGAAACCGCUUGCGGGUAAACGGGUGGAACCACGAAGUCAGAACGGGCCGGGGAUUCAGCCGUCGGCUGGGCGUAGGCGCGCAGUGAGAGUGUUUUCGGACAUUUCGCUGCGUGCUGUUGAUGCCCGGCCGGCGGUGCACUUCUCGCAGGCCCGGGACGGUGCUCCGACCGGUUGGAGCGCUGCGGCAGCCGGUAACGAGAGUCCGGCGGGCAGGUAGCGACAAGAGGCCUUGUGCUUCGCGACGUGAUAUAGCCCGUCGCUCGGAACUCGCCGCAGACAGCCGACCGGGUGAACUGGCCGAAAGGCCUUGCAGACGGAGGGGGAGCUUGGUGUUGAGCUGGACAUGCCGGCGGAGCGACGCGUACGGAGGCCUCGUGCCCUCGUCCUCGCACCGCUGUGCUGUCUACGCCUCUGCCCAUGCAUUCUCCCCCUGAGCAAUCGGGAG
RNAcentral lists this ribosomal RNA (824 nucleotides) under Linopodes sp. RNAcentral's name for it is "partial large subunit ribosomal RNA". It matches the Rfam family "Eukaryotic large subunit ribosomal RNA", at positions 48 to 631 of the family's 3401-position model. The record is from RNAcentral. Lineage: Eukaryota; Metazoa; Arthropoda; Arachnida; Trombidiformes; Cocceupodidae.